RNAcentral lists this long non-coding RNA (3089 nucleotides) under Equus caballus (horse). Its description in RNAcentral is "lncRNA (ENSECAG00000051158.1)". Lineage: Eukaryota; Metazoa; Chordata; Mammalia; Perissodactyla; Equidae. The record is from RNAcentral.
CCAGGAUCCGAACCCUGGGCUGCCACAGCGGAGCACGCGAACUUAACCACUCGGCCACGGAGCCGGCCCCUUUUUUAGGUGGCUGUGCAUUCCACUGCACCAGGGUUGAUGUCGUCUAAGAUGUCGUGAUGGUGGCAGCAUCAACAUUACAGUCCACAGACUGGGCAGUCCCCAGACCUCUUAACGGUUCCAGAGAGUUCUCUGGCCAAAGACUGGUGCUGCAUCUGUUGGCCAAUGUUGACAAUCUCAUCAAAGGUGACACUUGCCCUGUGCUUGAUGCUUUUCUACUUCUUUCUGUCUCCUGGCAUUCCUCGAGGACUUCGAUGAUCAGGGCAGAGGCGGAAGCUACCCCCUCAGUCUGGGCCUGUCUGUUCUGAAUGGUCAGUUUCGCUGCUGUCCUCAGACCCAGGCACCAGUUGCUUUGGCGAUGUCAUCACCAAACUUUUUGGGAGACAGACGCAGAGGGCUGAUCUUGGGGGAUGUGGCAGCAGCUUUCCCACCAGUGCACCUCAAGUACACAACUUUGAAAAACCAUGGCGAGGGGCUGGCCCUGUGGCCGAGUGGUUAAGUUCACGCGCUCCGCUGCAGGCGGCCGAGUGUGUCAUUGGUUUGAAUCCUGGGCGCGGACAUGGCACUGCUCAUCAAACCACGCUGAGGCGGCAUCCCACAUGCCACAACUAGAAGGACCCACAACGAAGAAUAUACAACUAUGUACCGGGGGGCUUUGGGGAGAAAAAGGAAAAAAAAAAAUCUUAAAAAAAAACAAAAAAGAAAAAAAAAAUGAAAAACCAUGGCGAGGUGGCCAUGCCAGAAGCCUUGACGGUGCGUGUGUUGUCAGGCCUGAGGGCCUCGAACACCCUUGUCCGGGGCAGUGCUAACCUCUCUCCUUUUACACAACUCUCCUCGGUCUCCUAAUCUGGAACAAUCUCCUGCCUUUUUUAUCUCCUAAGGCAUUGACUUUGAAGAAUCAAGCUAGCUGACUUAAGAAAUGUCCCCUAUUCUGGAUUCAUCGGAUUGUUUCCUUAUGAAAGUGUGCCAUUUUGAAAAAUAUAUAGUAGAACGCAUUUAUCUGCCAAUUUGCGCUGCCGUCUCCACCCGUCCCUCCGUCGUCUUUCCAGCUCAGCUGAUGGCUCCAGCAUGUCUUCGUGUCCAGCUGGGCCUUCACCUCUCUCUUCUCCUCCCUCCUGCGCAGCCCGUCCACUCAGCCUCGAAAACAUAGCCAGACUCUGGCAGCCCUGCCUCCCUGCCGAUGCCCUGGUCCAAGCCACCGAUUUCUCUAUCGGAACCCCCAAGCUGGGCUCUCUGCUCUCACGUGGGCCUGGACACUCCACUCCUCUCAGUCUGGGUGCAGAUUUCUAGAGAGAUGAUGACUUGAGCCCGUGUCCCUCGUUCCUCACUUCCGACUCUCUCUUUGGGCAAAAACAACAACCAGGAAAGGAAGACACAUGGGGUUGAACGACAGGAGGAAGGGGAUGAGCCUUGGGACCCCCAGAAGGUGACAGUGUGCCUCACCGGCCGUCGUGUCUGAGUCUUCCUGCUUGCUGGGUUGCCAGUCCCAGUCAGCUGUUGAAAAUGAGAAGGGUUCUCCUCCCCCAGCUUAACAUUCCGCCAAGACCACCCGCCACGCUGCUUAGAGCACGCUCCCAGCUCCUGGCCCUGGGCAGCCAGCUCGGCACGGCCCUUCUGCCCACCGCUCGCUCGCCCUCAAUCACUCGGUUUUCUUUCUGGCUCCUGAGCAGGCUGAGCCUUUUUCUGCCUCAGGGCCUUUGCAGUCUCCUCUGCCUGGAAUGUUCCCCCCCCGCCCUCCCAUCCCCGAUCUUCUCACCAGAGGCCCCUUCUCCUCCUGCAGGUCUCAACUGGAACCUCCCUUCCCUGACCACCAUUUUAAACUAGUCCACUUGCCCCCAACUACUCGCUCUCUCAUUCCGUGAUCCACGUCUAUAUCCUUCGCAGCACUCCCUUAUCUGGCGCUCCAGUAUCUGGAACUCUCUGACUGGUUGUGUGUGCGCACCCCACGAGAAUACUGAUACCCACCCAGGCUGAGCACUCACACUGCACCCCGCGCGGUUCUGAGCAUGCGCUUUAGCUUCUAGCUUCACAACAGCCCUGGGAGGAAGGCACGAUGCUCUCUCAGAUUUCACUGGUGUGGAAACUGAGGCACAGAGAGGUAAUGUGGGGUCACCAGGGAGUCUGGCUCCAGCUCCGAGUUCUUGACCGUGACACUCUCAGAACCUGCAUUUAAGCACCGCAAAGAUUAGGGCUUUUUCUGUUACUUUCUCUGCUCCGAUGGCAGCUUUCGGCACUGAGGACCCAAACGGCCUGAAUCGGGCUCCAAUCCCAAGAAACAGCAUUUCAUCUUCUUGCUGGGACGGGCGGCGGAGCCAUUUCAGCAAGCCAAGGGCCUCAGGAACAGUUCACCAGGUCGCACGUUUGGGAGUGGCAGAGUCAACGGCUUCAGGGAGCUCUCGGGAAUAGGUUGCUGGUGUGGAAAAACCAAAGCCGAGGCCAGGCUGCUGCAGGUUCGUGGCUGACUCUAAGAAGCUAACCAUGUGUGGCUAUUUAAACAUAGAUUAGGGGCGGGCCUGGUGGCGCAGGGGUUAAGUGCGCACAUUCUGCUACUUUGUGGCCCGGGGUUUGCGGGUUCGGAUCCCAGGUGCGGACAUAGCACCGCUUGUCAAGCCAUGCUGUGGUAGGCAUCCCACAUAGAAAGUGGAGGAAGAUGGGCACAGAUGUUAGCUCUGGGCCAGUCUUCCUCAGCAAAAAGAAAAAGGAGGAUUGGCAGCAGAUGUUGGCUCAGGGCUAAUCUUCCUCAAAAAAAUAAAUAAAAAUAAAAAAUAAAUGUAAAUUAAUUAAAAUGAAAUAGAAUGUGUUCCUCAAUUGCACUAGCUACCUUUCCACUCUCAGUAGAAGCAUAAGGCUAGGGGCUGCCCUACUUGACAGCACAGAUCUAGAACAUUCUCAGAUCUAGAACAUUCUCAUCAUGCCGGAAAGUUCUGUUGGACAGUGCCAGUGUAGAUGGACCGUGAUUUCGCUUUCCUGGAGGUGAAUCACAAAGGUCACGGCGGGGUAUUUAUCCAAAUUAUUCAUAG